Molecule: long non-coding RNA, 874 nt
Organism: Salvia miltiorrhiza (redroot sage)
Lineage: Eukaryota; Viridiplantae; Streptophyta; Magnoliopsida; Lamiales; Lamiaceae
Exons: 2
Source: RefSeq, a predicted model, not a curated record
UGCUCUGUCACUCGCAGCGUUUCAACCAAGAAAGGGAUAGCGCCGGAGCAACCGAUGAUUGGUUUGUUGGAGUCCAGCGCGCUCAGCCCCAGGAAAUUAGCAACAACUGCUUCCGCGAUGGCGUCGUUACCGGAUUCAGUACUGACGCAUCGUUGGCAAUGGCGAGGUUGAGCAGAGCAUAAAGAGCAGCAAUCUGAGAGCGGAAAGUGGGAUCUCGGGCGUCGAGCAGAGCAACAAGCGGCGGAAUGACGCCGAGAAGGGCGAGAGUGGUGCGGGCUUGGGGAUCGUCCUUGGUCAACCUCCUGACAUCGGCGGCGCCGUCGAGCAUUGAUCCAUCCAGCUGCAGUUUCCGAGCCACAUUUUUGAGGGUUUGGAGCAGCUGCUCUUUCCGCCUCACCUCGUCGUCGUUUUCCCACCACUCCGGCUGCUUCAGCAGCUCCGACAACUUGUCCGAUCCGGCGGCAUGCGAUCUCUUCUUCGCCGCCUCGGGUUUCUUCCGCUGCAGACCUCCGCCGCAGCGCACACUGUCGAUUAUGAGAGACCAGAGCUUGAGAGGGCGCUCCAGCACCACGGAUCCGCCUUCACACUUGCCCAUGGCGAUCACAUCCGUCGCAGUCUAGGGAAUAUUUGAGGUGGACUACAGCGCAUAGAGAAAUCAAUGGUACAUUACACACUAGUGUUUGAUGUUUCUUUCAUUAAUUAAUGCAGACACAAUUCAUUAAUGGGGGUGAGCGGAGGUAGUGGAGACUUGGGGGGUUGUGGCACUGGCGGCAGAGAGAGAGAGGUUUUAGUUGAUCUAGGAGAUUAAAAUUACUACUAUACUCCAUGUAUGUACAAGCCCGACACUAAAUUAUAUAAUGUCCCCUUUACUUUA